Molecule: ribosomal RNA, 427 nt
Filed under: uncultured Eisenbergiella sp.
Lineage: Bacteria; Bacillati; Bacillota; Clostridia; Lachnospirales; Lachnospiraceae
Description: bacterial SSU rRNA
Rfam family: Bacterial small subunit ribosomal RNA
Source: RNAcentral
AACGCGAAGAACCUUACCAAGACUUGACAUAUACAGGAAAGACUAAGAGAUUAGUUCCCUCUUCGGAGCUUGUAUACAGGUGAUGCAUGGUUGUCGUCAGCUCGUGUCGUGAGAUGUUAGGUUAAGUCCUGCAACGAGCGCAACCCUCGUGAUUAGUUGCCAGAUAAUGGAACUCUAAUCAGACUGCCGUAGUUAAUACGGAGGAAGGUGAGGAUGAUGUCAAAUCAUCACGUCCCUUAUGAUUUGGGCUACACACGUGCUACAAUGGCGUAAACAAAGAGAAGCGAAGGAGUGAUCCGGAGCAAAUCUCAAAAAUAACGUCUCAGUUCGGAUUGUAGUCUGCAACUCGACUACAUGAAGCUGGAAUCGCUAGUAAUCGCGAAUCAGAAUGUCGCGGUGAAUACGUUCCCGGGUCUUGUACACACGC